CCGCCCUUAGCUCAGCUGGAUAGAGCAACGGCCUUCUAAGCCGUAGGUCGCCCGUUCGAAUCGGGCAGGGCGGACCA
RNAcentral lists this transfer RNA (77 nucleotides) under Castellaniella sp. RNAcentral describes it as "tRNA-Arg". It matches the Rfam family "tRNA". Rfam says of the family: Transfer RNA (tRNA) molecules are approximately 80 nucleotides in length. Their secondary structure includes four short double-helical elements and three loops (D, anti-codon, and T loops). RNAcentral also lists the same sequence under 3 other names. The record is from RNAcentral. Lineage: Bacteria; Pseudomonadati; Pseudomonadota; Betaproteobacteria; Burkholderiales; Alcaligenaceae.